This 484-nucleotide ribosomal RNA is filed under the name uncultured bacterium. RNAcentral's name for it is "partial 16S ribosomal RNA". It matches the Rfam family "Bacterial small subunit ribosomal RNA", at positions 30 to 507 of the family's 1533-position model. The record is from RNAcentral.
AUUGAACGCUGGCGGCAUGCCUUACACAUGCAAGUCGAACGGCAGCACGGGAGCAAUCCUGGUGGCGAGUGGCGAACGGGUGAGUAAUACAUCGGAACAUGCCCAGUAGUGGUGGAUAACCCGGCGAAAUCCGGACUAAUCCCGCAUACGACCUACGGGUGAAAGCGGUGGAUCGCAAGACCUCUCGCUAUCUUAUCGGCCGAUGUCAGAUUAGCUAGUUGGUGGGGUAAAGGCCCACCAAGGCGACGAUCUGUAGCUGGUCUGAGAGGACGACCAGCCACAGUGGGACUGAGACACGGCACAGACUCCUACGGGAGGCAGCAGUGGGGAAUGUUGGACAAUGGGCGCAAGCCUGAUCCAGCCAUGCCGCGUGCGGGAAGAAGGCCUUCGGGUUGUAAAACGCUUUUGUCAGGGAAGAAACGCUGCGGGAUAAUACCACGGAGUAAUGACGGUACCUGAAGGAUAAGCACCGGCUAACUACGUG